RNAcentral lists this long non-coding RNA (4786 nucleotides) under Panax ginseng (ginseng). RNAcentral describes it as "long non-coding RNA (PGIN_LNC017040)". Lineage: Eukaryota; Viridiplantae; Streptophyta; Magnoliopsida; Apiales; Araliaceae. The record is from RNAcentral.
UAGUUUCUUUGGAGUAAUAGGAAAAUUUAACUUUUUUGGGGCAAUGGAGAACUAGAAAUUACUCCCUCCAUCCCAAAAUUAAAAUAUAUUUUUCUUAUUUGUUCCAUUAAAUACAUCUAAUAUUAUUAUAUCAUUUUUAUUAGUGAUUAUUCAAAUAUAUAAUAAAUAAUUUAUAAUAUUGAGGUUAAUGAUGUGCAAUAUAUAUGAAACAUGGAAAUAUCAAAAUGAUGACCGGGUAAAUAGAAGAAUUUAUUCUCCUGUCGAAAACCCCUAAUCCAUCAGUCAUUACGCUCUCAAAACCCUGCCCCCUUUUGUUUUCUACGAUCAGCCGCACCAGUCUGCCGAGAGAUCGAGAGAGGAGGAACGACGACGUAAAGAGUACGCUUCCCUUCACUCUUCUUAUUUUUAUGAACUCCAACUGUUCCCGUCAACUAAUAUCUGUUUCUCAUAUGUAUUUGUAUAUUUGAUGACACAUCAGUUAGUCGUUUUUGAUCUCAGUAUUCACAUGUUUUUCUGAUAAUUUUGAUGAUAUGAUGCAUUCUCAUUGUUGGGUUCGAUUCAUUGAACAUUUGUUCAUGCAAUUAAUUUUUUGUAAUUGGGUUGAAUUUUGGGCGUCCAUUUGCUUACUUGCGACUUGUGAGCCAUUUAAAGGAAAAAAAGAAAGCAUAAAAUAGGAGCAGAAGAACCACAAUCCACUUAAAGAAAAAUCAAAUAAAAUAGAAGAAGAAUAAUUUCAAGUAUUAUGCUGUGUAGUUGAUAUGAAAAUUAAUGUGGCAAACCACUUAUAGAAAUUCUCAGUGUUCUGUAGGAAUCUGCAAUCGACGUUUAUGGCUUCUAUUAUUUCUCCUAACAGCUUUCUUUACUACCUCUCUUUAUGCCGUACAGAAAAAAUGGGAGGAACAAUUGAGGAAUCAUCUAAAGCAAUUGCUGAUCUAUCCGUUGACAACUCUAAUCCUAUGCAAUCAGAACCAGAAGUUCUCAGCAAGAAGGAAGUUGCAAACUCACACAAAUCCAACAUUCUUAAAUUUGAUAUGGAUUCAUUCAAGUUUUGAAUGAAACAAAUAUCUGAAAUGACAACAAGUGUGUGCAUUUCCCUAUCAAAACCCUUGAACUAACCUUUUAGACACGAAGGGUAUUCUGAGGCUGAAUCGUCUGGAUUCACCAAAAUUUUGGAAUAGAGGGAGUAGCUUUCUGCUCUCUCUCAUGCUGUCUCUGUACACACACACACACACACACACACACACACACACAUAUAUAUACAUACAUACAUACAUAUAUAUGUAUACUCAAAUUAUGUAUCUAUCAUAUAUUUUCUGCCAUGCUAGAAUCUUAUUUUGAAUUCUUUUGAUUUUACAACUGUAGCGCUCGCAAGAAAGAAUUGAAAAAUAAACAGAAAGAGGAGGAACGACGACGUAAGGAAGAGGAGAAGGAGAAAAAGGUACACUCUCAGCUGUUUUUGAUUCCAUGAAAUCCUUUGUUUAAUUUUCAUUUGUAAGUUUGAUUUAUUUAGUUUAAGUGACUAUUACACUGUAAAACUUGUGACUAGGAACUUAUAUCAGAAUUGGAGAGGUAACUCCAUUGUUCAAGUAUGCCUAGGCAGCCCGAAAGUUUGAAAAAAGCCAUUCUCCACGGAGGAUUUUGUUUUUUUCCACCUGUAUAUCCUUUGGACUUGCCUUGCAUGCUCCUUCCUCUAUUAGAAAUAUUUUCUUUUAUUUAAAUAAAAAUUAUGGAUAUGUCAUAAUAUGAACUGAUUCAUUUAUCUAUAGAUAAAAGUACUUUUACAUACUUGAUUAUUCAUGUUGUGGUUUUAUGAUUAUGUUGGACAAGUUUAAAUAAAUAACAAGUUUCAGUUUCAAUGCUUAGGAGUUUGAUAUUAUCUCUGAUCCUUUAUGUGGCUUCUCUUUUUCUUGUUAAUCUCUUGAUUCUAUUCAUCUUUUAAUUUUCCCCUGCAAAGGAUAGUAUAAAAAAUGAACUAAGAGCACGAUUAAAACAUUGAAAACAUGAGUUGUGUCAAACUUGAAAGAAAGGCCUAGGCUUUUACUAUUUUUAUUGGAGUUAUCUUCUAUAGAGAUCACCACAAAGACACACUGACACACAGCACUGCUGCUUGUCAUAAUGCUACCCUAUUAUUUUCCAUUCAUGAAAAAUUAGUUUCUUAAAUUAAUUGACAAGUAAUUGCUGUUUCUGAAAAUGUUUUGGAUCAAGUUGUAAUAUCUGUUUCUCAUAUGUAUUUGUAUAUUUGAUGACACAUCAGUUAGUCGUUUUUGAUCUCAGUAUUCACAUGUUUUUCUGAUAAUUUUGAUGAUAUGAUGCAUUCUCAUUGUUGGGUUCGAUUCAUUGAACAUUUGUUCAUGCAAUUAAUUUUUUGUAAUUGGGUUGAAUUUUGGGCGUCCAUUUGCUUACUUGCGACUUGUGAGCCAUUUAAAGGAAAAAAAGAAAGCAUAAAAUAGGAGCAGAAGAACCACAAUCCACUUAAAGAAAAAUCAAAUAAAAUAGAAGAAGAAUAAUUUCAAGUAUUAUGCUGUGUAGUUGAUAUGAAAAUUAAUGUGGCAAACCACUUAUAGAAAUUCUCAGUGUUCUGUAGGAAUCUGCAAUCGACGUUUAUGGCUUCUAUUAUUUCUCCUAACAGCUUUCUUUACUACCUCUCUUUAUGCCGUACAGAAAAAAUGGGAGGAACAAUUGAGGAAUCAUCUAAAGCAAUUGCUGAUCUAUCCGUUGACAACUCUAAUCCUAUGCAAUCAGAACCAGAAGUUCUCAGCAAGAAGGAAGUUGCAAACUCACACAAAUCCAACAUUCUUAAAUUUGAUAUGGAUUCAUUCAAGUUUUGAAUGAAACAAAUAUCUGAAAUGACAACAAGUGUGUGCAUUUCCCUAUCAAAACCCUUGAACUAACCUUUUAGACACGAAGGGUAUUCUGAGGCUGAAUCGUCUGGAUUCACCAAAAUUUUGGAAUAGAGGGAGUAGCUUUCUGCUCUCUCUCAUGCUGUCUCUGUACACACACACACACACACACACACACACACACACAUAUAUAUACAUACAUACAUACAUAUAUAUGUAUACUCAAAUUAUGUAUCUAUCAUAUAUUUUCUGCCAUGCUAGAAUCUUAUUUUGAAUUCUUUUGAUUUUACAACUGUAGCGCUCGCAAGAAAGAAUUGAAAAAUAAACAGAAAGAGGAGGAACGACGACGUAAGGAAGAGGAGAAGGAGAAAAAGGUACACUCUCAGCUGUUUUUGAUUCCAUGAAAUCCUUUGUUUAAUUUUCAUUUGUAAGUUUGAUUUAUUUAGUUUAAGUGACUAUUACACUGUAAAACUUGUGACUAGGAACUUAUAUCAGAAUUGGAGAGGUAACUCCAUUGUUCAAGUAUGCCUAGGCAGCCCGAAAGUUUGAAAAAAGCCAUUCUCCACGGAGGAUUUUGUUUUUUUCCACCUGUAUAUCCUUUGGACUUGCCUUGCAUGCUCCUUCCUCUAUUAGAAAUAUUUUCUUUUAUUUAAAUAAAAAUUAUGGAUAUGUCAUAAUAUGAACUGAUUCAUUUAUCUAUAGAUAAAAGUACUUUUACAUACUUGAUUAUUCAUGUUGUGGUUUUAUGAUUAUGUUGGACAAGUUUAAAUAAAUAACAAGUUUCAGUUUCAAUGCUUAGGAGUUUGAUAUUAUCUCUGAUCCUUUAUGUGGCUUCUCUUUUUCUUGUUAAUCUCUUGAUUCUAUUCAUCUUUUAAUUUUCCCCUGCAAAGGAUAGUAUAAAAAAUGAACUAAGAGCACGAUUAAAACAUUGAAAACAUGAGUUGUGUCAAACUUGAAAGAAAGGCCUAGGCUUUUACUAUUUUUAUUGGAGUUAUCUUCUAUAGAGAUCACCACAAAGACACACUGACACACAGCACUGCUGCUUGUCAUAAUGCUACCCUAUUAUUUUCCAUUCAUGAAAAAUUAGUUUCUUAAAUUAAUUGACAAGUAAUUGCUGUUUCUGAAAAUGUUUUGGAUCAAGUUGUAAUAUCUGUUUCUCAUAUGUAUUUGUAUAUUUGAUGACACAUCAGUUAGUCGUUUUUGAUCUCAGUAUUCACAUGUUUUUCUGAUAAUUUUGAUGAUAUGAUGCAUUCUCAUUGUUGGGUUCGAUUCAUUGAACAUUUGUUCAUGCAAUUAAUUUUUUGUAAUUGGGUUGAAUUUUGGGCGUCCAUUUGCUUACUUGCGACUUGUGAGCCAUUUAAAGGAAAAAAAGAAAGCAUAAAAUAGGAGCAGAAGAACCACAAUCCACUUAAAGAAAAAUCAAAUAAAAUAGAAGAAGAAUAAUUUCAAGUAUUAUGCUGUGUAGUUGAUAUGAAAAUUAAUGUGGCAAACCACUUAUAGAAAUUCUCAGUGUUCUGUAGGAAUCUGCAAUCGACGUUUAUGGCUUCUAUUAUUUCUCCUAACAGCUUUCUUUACUACCUCUCUUUAUGCCGUACAGAAAAAAUGGGAGGAACAAUUGAGGAAUCAUCUAAAGCAAUUGCUGAUCUAUCCGUUGACAACUCUAAUCCUAUGCAAUCAGAACCAGAAGUUCUCAGCAAGAAGGAAGUUGCAAACUCACACAAAUCCAACAUUCUUAAAUUUGAUAUGGAUUCAUUCAAGUUUUGAAUGAAACAAAUAUCUGAAAUGACAACAAGUGUGUGCAUUUCCCUAUCAAAACCCUUGAACUAACCUUUUAGACACGAAGGGUAUUCUGAGGCUGAAUCGUCUGGAUUCACCAAAAUUUUGGAAUAGAGGGAGUAGCUUUCUGCUCUCUCUCAUGCUGUCUCUGUACACACACACACACNNNN